RNAcentral lists this ribosomal RNA (463 nucleotides) under uncultured bacterium. RNAcentral describes it as "partial 16S ribosomal RNA". It matches the Rfam family "Bacterial small subunit ribosomal RNA", at positions 28 to 507 of the family's 1533-position model. The record is from RNAcentral.
GACGAACGCUGGCGGCGUGCUUAACACAUGCAAGUCGAGCGGAAAGGCCACUUCGGUGGUACUCGAGCGGCGCACGGGUGAGUAACACGUGAGUAAUCUGCCCCUCACUUUGGGAUAGCCACCGGAAACGGUGAUUAAUACCGGAUAUGACCAUAUGUUGCAUGGGGUGUGGUGGAAAGUUUUUCGGUGAGGGAUGUGCUCGUGGCCUAUCAGCUUGAUGGUGAGGUAAUGGCUGACCAUGGCUUCGACGGGUAGCCGGCCUGAGAGGGUGACCGGUCACACUGGGACUGAGACACGGCCCAGACUCCUACGGGAGGCAGCAGUGGGGAAUAUUGGACAAUGGGCGGAAGCCUGAUCCAGCAACGCCGCGUGAGGGAUGACGGCCUUCGGGUUGUAAACCUCUUUCAGUACCGACGAAGCGCAAGUGACGGUAGGUACAGAAGAAGCACCGGCCAACUACGUG